This 82-nucleotide transfer RNA is filed under the name Paraplanobispora siamensis. RNAcentral describes it as "Planobispora siamensis tRNA-Ala". Lineage: Bacteria; Bacillati; Actinomycetota; Actinomycetes; Streptosporangiales; Streptosporangiaceae. The record is from RNAcentral.
CCGGGCGUGGUGGCGGGGCGCGCCCGGGCCCUGGCGGGGUUCGCUGGUCAUGUACGAGGGCUCCGGACGCCGCCUGCCCGGC